This is a long non-coding RNA of Cyprinus carpio carpio, 1931 nucleotides long. Lineage: Eukaryota; Metazoa; Chordata; Actinopteri; Cypriniformes; Cyprinidae. The record is from Ensembl.
GGAGAAAUGAGUGGCGUUUUUAAUGAACUGCAGCGAUUUCACCUUUUAUUAAAACUCUCAUCACAUACAUACACUGUAAUGGCAUGCUAGUGUACAGCGCAUAAAGAUGAACCCAGAUGCAGCGCAACCACUGCUGGUGAACUUUAGGUGACCCAGGAGAUGUCUCCUUUUCAGAAUACUCAUUUAUUGCUGUUCUGAUCACUAAUGGCCAAUCAGAUGAUCCAGUGGACAGUCCAGCUAAAGCUGUAACAGACAGUGGAAUUUCCCUGUUUGCUGUGGGUGAGUUGAAAACUUGGUGUUCUUCAUGUCAGAAGUGUUUGUGUUGUAGUCUAAACGGGCAUGACACGUCUGUGUGCACUUCUUCAUGUUUUGACGUGUGGUUCAGAGUAACUAUAGUGAAUAGUACAACGCAGCAAGACAUAGAAUGUGUAUCAGAGCCGAUCCUCCCUAUACACAAAAUACGCAAGCUGCAUAUGGCCCCUGAAACACCAGGGGGCCCCCUUGCUUUAAAAGAUUAUUUAAUUUUAGUUUUGUUUUUGAAUUUGGCCAGCAGUUAUGAAAACGAUCAUUUGAAAAAUUAUAAUUUCUUUUAAUGCGGUGUGCUGUCGCCCUUUCUACGUAAAAAUCAGUUAAAUCAUGUAAUGUGAAUGUCAUAGAGUCUUGCUCGGGACUAAAAAAACGAGUUGAAAGAGUUCCGAGCCACAGAAGAGACACUGCUUCUUAAGCGCUUUCCGCGAGCGCGAUUCGAGACGGAGUGAAACAUGGACAAAUGCGUUUCAUUCAUUCGUUCAUAACCACUCAUAACCCACUCCAUGUUUGCGUAGGGCCCCCUGAAGUAUAGGAUGGGCUCUGAUGUGUAUGUUUAUGUGUGUGUCAGCCUUGUUUCCUUUCUCGCGCUCUUUCUGUUUUGACGCCCAGAGUGCUGAAAUAAUUAUGGUUCAUUACCCGGUGGCUGACUAAUUGCUGUAAUUUUUCAUCAAACUCAUUCCUCCUGGCCCCCUUUAUCACACACACACACACACACACACACACACACACACACACACACACACACACACACACACACACACACACACACACACACAAACACACACUCACUGACACUGUUUCCUGCCUUUCUAAUCAGAUUUCCCAGAGGGACGUGAAUAUAUCUGGCCGUUUGACACAUCUGUGAGACACAUGUACAGCAGGGCGACAUGCCGUGGCAUUUUCCCAAUAUCACUUUACAGCCAAUACACUGUCUGAUAACACUGCAGCAGGUCUGAGACACGUAAGGGUCAUUUCUAUACACACACACCUGUUAAGCAUCAGCUGCACCUAACAGGCCUCCAUUCUAUGACAGUGUUAAAUGGUCAAGUUGGAAAUGUGAAAUAGUGAUUAGUGAAUAGUCAUAGUGCUCAUAUGGGUGAUGAGGGUUCGAGUUUGACCUGCAGCCUGCCCCGAAUCCAUAAUGUGUAAGAAAUGAUGAAGCGGAUCUGUAUAGAAGCUGAUCUGUGCCAUUUCGACUAGCUGAUAUGUUGUAUGUUCUUAAGGGGUAAGGAAUGCUGACCAGUCCGAGAUGAGGAAAAUCGUCACAGAGCCCCAUGAGGAACAUUUACAGCUCACCCAGAUUUCUCCUUUCUGGAGAACCUUCUGCCCAAACUCUCUCGUUGCAUCUGCUUCACUGCUUCAGAACCUCCCCAACCUGUUAAACAAAAGCCACCUGGUAAAAACACCAUGAGUUUUUCUACCUUUUUGUUAUUGCUGUUGUUUGUAACUAUAGUUUUGCUGCAUAUUGAGCCUAUCUGAACAGAGUUAACCCUUCACUAAAUUCUGCCAUCCUUUGUUGCUUUUGUUCCCUUAGACGAGCUUUACAGAAUACACCAUAAUCAUUAAUGGGAAAUUAAUGUAAACAGUAUCAUUUCCAGUAAAAUGUGCACACAAAUUAUGUG